ACCUGGCUGCUUCCACACUGGACCACGAGGCUUGUAACACAAUAUUCAGAAAAACUGUAUACAAAUCUUGUAGGAUUUUCUCUUUAGCUUGAAAGCUCUGAAAUUUGGCAAUUAUAUAUCUGGGAGUAGUUUUUUUUUUGGGGGGGGUUAGUGUAGAGUGUUUUCUAUGAACUCUUUCAAUGUCUAUUUUCCUCCCUUGUUCUAGAACUUCAGGGUAGUUUUCUUGGAUGAUCUCUUGGAGUAUGGUGUCAAGAUUUCUGCUUAUUUCUUGCUUUUCAGUUUCUGUCCUUUCCUUGGGACCAUCAGAGAAGUUUACAUAUUUUAUAUCAAAUUUUAUAUCAAAUCAUUGGGCCACUCUCUCUCACACAUGUUUGAGUUAUGGGAAGAAGUUAAGAAGCUAUGAUGGCCAAAAGAAUGAGAAAGAAGCACUAUGAAGUCAUGAAGGAGGAGGAAAAGGUCACCAGUAUAUCUAGUUUUAUCAAAAAGUUCAAAGAGACAGUGAACAAGACUGAAGUGCCUUGGAGGAAAGGAGAAUCACCUUUGGAAAAAUCAAAAGUGCUUGCCUGUAGGCUGUUCCACGAGAAUACCAAACUAUCCAUUUAACAGAGUUGUUCUAUUGGUGAUGCUACAUUGGCAUUAAUCUUGGGCUACCAUCAUCUUUGAAGAAUGAGUUUCUUAUAACUCAAAGUGCAACAGAGAAAUUCAUGAUUGACCCAAGUAGACUGUGGAACAUUGCCAAGGGCUAGGUGUAUUCAAGAUAUGGAAUGUACUGGAACUAUGAUGAUAUAUUAUGUUGGGUUAGUCAUUCAGUGUAAAUGAGAAAUAACUGACAAGUAGCUGAGUGUUAGGGCAAUAAGUUAGUGUAGUAGAUAGAGUGCUAGGCCUGAAGUUAGGAAACUCAAUUUUAUGGGUUCAUCUCUGGCCUUAGAAACUUAUUGGAUUGUGUUCCUGGGCAAGUCAAUGAACCGUGUUUGCCUCUGUUUCUCAACUGUAAAAGUGGCUAGAGGAUGAAUUGGCAGACCACUCUAGAAUCUCAGGAGAACCACAAAUGGAGGGACAGAGAGU
Molecule: long non-coding RNA, 1065 nt
Filed under: Monodelphis domestica (gray short-tailed opossum)
Lineage: Eukaryota; Metazoa; Chordata; Mammalia; Didelphimorphia; Didelphidae
Description: lncRNA (ENSMODG00000044258.1)
Source: RNAcentral